RNAcentral lists this non-coding RNA (91 nucleotides) under chicken gut metagenome. RNAcentral describes it as "Glycine riboswitch". It matches the Rfam family "Glycine riboswitch aptamer", at positions 7 to 88 of the family's 94-position model. From Rfam's summary of the family: This family represents the bacterial glycine riboswitch. Glycine riboswitches usually consist of two metabolite-binding aptamers domains with similar structures in tandem. The record is from RNAcentral.
ACAAUACUCUGGAGAGUCUCAAUGAUUUGGGCGCCGAAGGUGUAACACAGGCCAUAAGGCCUGUCUAUCUCUCAGGCAAAAGGACAGGGCA